Molecule: long non-coding RNA, 896 nt
Filed under: Homo sapiens (human)
Lineage: Eukaryota; Metazoa; Chordata; Mammalia; Primates; Hominidae
Description: long non-coding RNA NONHSAT076205.2
Source: RNAcentral
UUCUUUAAAAAAAUUUUGCCUUGGGGUAUGGGAGAAAGAGAAAGAGAGGAAGAGAGAGAGAGAGAGAUCAGUUGAUGUAAUGAACAGUUCAUUGUGAGCAUGAUUUCAUUUCGUUCCUUUGUCCUCCUUCUAUGAGUAAGAGAGUGGGAAAAGUCAAAACGCAGCUCCAUGGAGAUAACGUCUCAUGCGGUUCCAGGUGUGGAACGGGGUCCAUUUGACCUAGAAGCUUUGGCAGAGGGAGCAGACACAGUAUUCACUAUGUUGAUUUCAUCAUCAAGCAACUGGCAAUCGGUUUUACAUGCUAAAUCACCCAUUUCUACUUUCUGCUUUCACUUUUUUUGUUCCUUUUUGCAGUCACACUUUUCACUGACUUGGUAUGACCUUGACUGAGAAGCUCAUUUUACUACUGAUGAACAAUGCUGAUGAUUCUGAUGUUUUUUAAAAGUUAGUAUUUUGAUUUAAGAAUAAAUUAACAAAGGGUAGUUUCAUACUAUUUUUGCAUAUUGUGUCAAAGUUUUGGUGCAAUAUAAUUUUCACCUGAAAUGUUAUUAGAUAAAUUUGGGUUCAAUCACUUAAGUGAAAAUUAGUCACAGGCUUGUUAUAGGGAACACUGUGUUAAACAAAAAAAGCAAGUUCAAUUUUUCAAUUCAUCUGGCAACUUUAACAGAGAUCCUCAGAAAGAAGUUCUGGAUAUUCAAAUGCUUACUAUAGAGAGGAUAUAAAUAGUUGGACUCUCUAAAAAGAUUAUUACAGGCAUUAUUUCUGAAGAUGGACACCUUUACCUUUGGCUUCUAGUGAGGAAGUAAACAUCAAAGUGAGAAGAAGUUUGAGGCAUUUCCUAUCUGCCUCUUCCCUUCCCUCCCAGGGGACAUGAAUGUCACACUGAUAUACUUCUG